Molecule: ribosomal RNA, 468 nt
Filed under: uncultured bacterium
Lineage: Bacteria
Description: partial 16S ribosomal RNA
Rfam family: Bacterial small subunit ribosomal RNA
Source: RNAcentral
GACGAACGCUGGCGGCGUGCUUAACACAUGCAAGUCGAACGGUGAAGCUCAAGCUUGUUGGGUUGGAUCAUGGCCGAACGGGGGAGUAACACGGAAGAAACCUCCCCCUGACCUGGGAAUAGGCCCGGGAACCGCCGCCUAUAACGGGAUAGGAGAGGGUUCGCCAGGGGAACUUCUUGGAAGGUUUUUCGGUUGGGGAUGGGCUCGCGGCCUAUCAGCUUGUUGGUGAGGUAAUGGCUCACCAAGGCGACGACGGGUAGCCGGCCUGAGAGGGCGACCGGCCACACUGGGACUGAGACACGGCCCAGACUCCUACGGGAGGCAGCAGUGGGGAAUAUUGCACAAUGGGCGAAAGCCUGAUGCAGCGACGCCGCGUGAGGGAUGACGGCCUUCGGGUUGUAAACCUCUUUCAGCAGGGAAGAAGCGAAAGUGACGGUACCUGCAGAAGAAGCACCGGCUAACUACGUG